GCCAAAUAUCUAGCUUUCUUCCAAUCAUACUAAUUUUCUAUACUCAAUAUGCAAUAAAACAUUUUGUUAUUUUAGUAAAGGCGAUUAAAAAAAUUCUUAAAGCUUUAAAUUUAGUACCGUAAGGGAACGAUGAAAUAUUAGUGAAACAACAUAAAGCACAAGAUAGUAGAAGUUAAAACUCGUACCUUUUGCAUCAUGGUCUAGCCAGUCCUAAUCAAGCAAAAAGAGGUUUUAGUUUGAUUCCCCGAAACUAGGUGAGCUACUUCAAAAUCGCCUUUAGGGCUAACCCGUCUCUGUAGCAAAAGAGUGGGAAAAUUUUCAAGUAGAAGUGAUAGACCUAACGAACCUAGAGAUAGCUGGUUAUUCAAGAAAAGAAUUUUAGUUCACCCUUAAGUCUCUUCAUGAUUAUCAACAUCCCCGCAGGCUUAAGAGUUAUUCAAAUAAGGCACAGCUUAUUUGAAACAGGAUACAACCUAGACACUAGGGUAAACCACUAAGAUCUAAUUAAGUUGGCCUAAAAGCAGCCACCUUUAAAAAAGCGUUAAAGCUUUAUUUUUUCUCCUAAAAAUUUAUUUAAUAAUUAUGAACCCAUCAUUACUAUUGAAUAAUUUCAUAAAUUAUGAAAGUUACCAUGCUAGAACUAGUAACAAGAAAAUGCAUUUCUCCAAAUUGUAAGCUUGAACCAAAAUGGACUCUCCACUGGUACUCAACGAUAAUGACCCCAAUAUUUUAACCACUCAAGAAAACUGAAUAACUUAUAUCGUCAACCUUACACUAGAACACUUCUGGAAAGAUUAAAAGGAAGAGAAGGAACUCGGCAAUAUUUAGUCCCGCCUGUUUACCAAAAACAUCGCCUCUUGCACACUAUAAGAGGUCCCGCCUGCCCAGUGAUUAAUUUAACGGCCGCGUGAUUUUAAGCGCGCAAAGGUAGCAAAAUCAUUUGUUCUUUAAAUGAGGACCAGUAUCAAUGGCACCACGAGGACUUCACUGUCUCCUUUUCCCAAUCAGUGAAACUAAUCUCCCUGUGAAAAAGCAGGGAUAAAGCUAUAAGACGAGAAGACCCCAUGGAGCUUUAAACUUUUUCAGCAACUUCCAGUAAAUUUUUACCUAUUAAUACUUAAGUUGUGCUUAAUAGUUUUAGGUUGGGGCGACCGCGGAGUAAAAUUUAACCUCCACGACAAAAGGAGAUUUCCUAAUCUAAGAAAGACAUUUCUAAGAAUCACUAACCUGAUGUUUCAUGACCCGACUAUCGAUCAACGAACCAAGUUACCCUGGGGAUAACAGCGCAAUCCAUUUAGAAAGCUCCUAUCGACAAAUGGGUUUACGACCUCGA
Molecule: ribosomal RNA, 1333 nt
Filed under: Occidozyga lima
Lineage: Eukaryota; Metazoa; Chordata; Amphibia; Anura; Dicroglossidae
Description: partial 16S large subunit ribosomal RNA
Rfam family: Bacterial large subunit ribosomal RNA
Source: RNAcentral